This 640-nucleotide long non-coding RNA is filed under the name Neodiprion pinetum (white pine sawfly). RNAcentral describes it as "uncharacterized LOC124213412". The record is from RNAcentral. Lineage: Eukaryota; Metazoa; Arthropoda; Insecta; Hymenoptera; Diprionidae.
AAAGACUUGGGAAUCAAGAAGUAAAAUCCCUAUUUCUGCAUCUGAUUUUUAUGCAGGAGGAUCCCUUAAUGCUCUAUCUAAUGAUAAAAUCAACAACCGAAGAGAGAAAUACCUAGAUUUAUUUUGGAUGAACCUAUCCUUAUGUAGUCAGAUGCACCAGUAGUGUGUAUUUCUGUUUGUUUACCAUAAUAAAGUGUGAUUGCAAAGUUGUGAGGUUGACUGAAGAGUAUAAAGACAGUUGCCCUGAUGGGUUUUGGUGUGACAACCGAGAACCGUCGUGCGCUUACGCCCCCUGAGAUGUUCCAACGGUAGAGUUGAGAGCUUAUUGCAAAACAUCAGAGAGUUACCGAUUUCGACAUGAUGCCGGCUGCAUUCACCUUCCGAGUAACACAGUCUUCGCAAUGUAUUCGAGGUAUAACCCGAGGUGGUUAGCGGUCGUUGGUGGGGGUUGCGGGUGAUCGAGAUGGACGAGGAGGAGGACGGGGAAGACGAAGAGGACAAAGUGGACGAGGAGGACCAGGAUUUGUGCACGGUAUAACCCGAGGUAGUGAUCGGUGGUUGUUGGAGGUGGUUGGCGGUGGUUGAAGAUGGUCGGAGGUUAUCGAGGAGAAGGACGAGGAUUUGUGCUCGGUGAAUUUAA